This 28-nucleotide non-coding RNA is filed under the name Bombyx mori (domestic silkworm). Lineage: Eukaryota; Metazoa; Arthropoda; Insecta; Lepidoptera; Bombycidae. The record is from RNAcentral.
UACACUACAGAAUGCCGUUUCAAACAUC